CCCGGUGGAGCGGCCCCGCCGACCCUCCGCUCCGCACCAGCGGGCAGCUCGGGCUGGGCUGGGCUGAGCCGCUCCGCAAGGCCACCCCUUCCAAUUCUCACCGCCCAGCGCCAGCACGUUGUUCCUGUAAAGUUGGAGGCGUGUCUUUAAAAACCGAGAAUUCCCCUCUCUCUUGCAGUAGCAGAAAAGUAUGCACCUCUCUCUCUGUUGUGGUGGGGAACAGCAGUGCUGAAUGAAGCACUGGCCUUUUCUGUUUCAUUUACCAGUGAGAGCCUUGGACAACAACUUGCUGAUUGCUGAGUGAAUUUGAGGAUAUGAAAAACCACAGCAUAGUGUAACAAUGAAGGAAUAGUACCAAGGUCUGACCUUGGUGCAUUUAUUCAUGUGCUUGAAGUUACACAUGUAUUUUGCUCUGUUUACCACAGUAACUAGCGUGAGGAAAUUAUCUACAGUGCAUCAUCUGAACGUGUCCAGUGUUUUGUGCAACUACACUCUCUAAGAAGAUGAUAACACAACGGGACUUCUGCCACAAGCACCUUUCUUUUGUGAUGUCACAAAUUUGUUGCAGGGUCUCCUCAUCAACGGCUUCCAGGCCCUGCCUGUGUUGGUUGUUAACGUCACCAAAAGAAGUAAGCUUGAUGGGGGGAUCCUGGUGACAGUGGGACCUGUGUCCAUUCAUUCCAUCAUCCUUCCACACCUCCAGGCAGAGCAUAACUGGGCAGCAUCCACCUGCUCCUUGGUUAACCUUCGAGAAGCGACGGGUGAUGUCAGGGCUUCUCUGCUUCAUGCCCUCCUCCAGUUCCCUAUCUGUGUAUUUCCAGUCCUGUAACUCUUCCCUUUCUAUCAUUUGUUGUUCAUUGCUGUUCAAUUUUUUCUCCUUGUUUUCAUUACCUAUAGCCCUCUCCCUCCCUAGGGGGCCUUCAAGGUUUUGCUAAUACAUACCUAAACAGAAAAACAAAUAGAAACAGCAGCAGUAAGAGAAACUAUUCAUAGAGUGCACGCAAGCUUGGCCUCCUUCUUCAAACCAUGUUCUUUGUACUCCCCUAACUUCCAUGGCUCUUAUGAAGAUAAAUCGUUGCUUAGUCC
This is a long non-coding RNA of Neopelma chrysocephalum (saffron-crested tyrant-manakin), 1086 nucleotides long. RefSeq lists it as uncharacterized. The record is from RefSeq and is a predicted model, not a curated record. NCBI's taxonomy places the organism in Eukaryota, Metazoa, Chordata, Aves, Passeriformes, Pipridae. The transcript is spliced from 5 exons.